This is a long non-coding RNA of Archocentrus centrarchus (flier cichlid), 875 nucleotides long. RefSeq lists it as uncharacterized. The record is from RefSeq and is a predicted model, not a curated record. The transcript is spliced from 3 exons. Lineage: Eukaryota; Metazoa; Chordata; Actinopteri; Cichliformes; Cichlidae.
GGGAGGCUGCUCUGACGGUAUCAGACGCAGACACGGCUUGAGUGAUCCAUGCUACUUGUUGCUUCUGUGGCUAGCUUGGAAAUUAGCAGACGAAACUUGAACAUCGAAGCUUCUGAUGCGACCGGGUUGGAAGCUGGAAAUCUCCGUGUAGCCUCGUGUAGCAUCGGUCAGGUUUUUUGUUGGUGCACUAUUUGAUCCAUAGUGCUACUGUGAAGACUGGAUUGCAUUUCCAGAACUGGAUGGCGAGCCCCAGCCCAAGGAUCGGACAAACCGGUAGAUAGUGACCCGACUGGUCACUAUAACUGAGACAUUGCAUGAACAAUUGAUGGACACUGUGACAAAAGACUAAAAAGGAAAAAAGACUACAGACUGGAUUAUUUAUUUCUAAUUGUUUAUUUUCCUUGUGUUGUUUUUGCUUUGGGUUUCAAAAGGGAAAAGCGCGCAGUUUGUUAAUUGUGUAUAUAUAUAUAUAUAUAUAUAUAUAUGUGUGUUGGUUUAAUGACAUUUCAUUCAGUAAAUUCUACUCUUUCUAUAAACUGUGCAUCUUCCUCUGUUGUUGCUCACACCUAGGCUCCCCCACGAAUCCAGAGUCUUCUGAUUAGGCCAACAUCCCUUUAUGUGUGUGGUAUUGGUAUUAGUUAUUGAAGUAAUUUACUCUACCAUAUUUCACAACUGUCAAGGGUACUUGAAGGUAACCUCUUGUGGGUUACACACGUGUUACACACGUGUUACAAAUGCACGAGGAGUUCAGAAACAAUUUGAAAUGAGGCGCAGAAUCUUUUUGUGGUACGCCGUACCUGACCGGCUUACUUUCAGCCCUGCACAUAUAGUCUAUAGAUGCAGCUUGACCAACCGAGUUUACUUUCUCACCCUAU